RNAcentral lists this ribosomal RNA (786 nucleotides) under uncultured archaeon. RNAcentral's name for it is "bacterial SSU rRNA". It matches the Rfam family "Archaeal small subunit ribosomal RNA", at positions 85 to 876 of the family's 1478-position model. The record is from RNAcentral.
ACGGCUCAGUAACACGUGGAUAACCUGCCCUAGGGAAGGGGAUAAUCCCGGGAAACUGGGGAUAAUACCCUAUAGGUUACAGAUGCUGGAAUGCUCUGUAACCCAAAGUUCCGGCGCCCUAGGAUGGAUCUGCGGCCGAUUAGGUUGUUGUUGGGGUAAUGGCCCAACAAGCCAGUAAUCGGUACGGGUUGUGGGAGCAAGAGCCCGGAGUUGGAUUCUGAGACACGAAUCCAGGCCCUACGGGGCGCAGCAGGCGCGAAAACUUUACAAUGCGGGCAACCGUGAUAAGGGAACCUCGAGUGCCUGUAAAUGCAGGCUGUUCAGAUGCCUAAAACACAUCUGGAGAAAGGGCCGGGCAAGACCGGUGCCAGCCGCCGCGGUAAUACCGGCGGCUCGAGUGGUGGCCACUUUUAUUGGGCUUAAGGCGUUCGUAGCUGGGUUGUUAAGUCUCUUGGGAAAUCUGGCGGCUUAACCGUCAGGCGUCUAAGGGAUACUGGCAAUCUUGGAACCGGGAGAGGUGAGGGGUACUUCGGGGGUAGGAGUGAAAUCCUGUAAUCCUCGAGGGACCACCUGUGGCGAAGGCGCCUCACCAGAACGGCUUCGACAGUGAGGGACGAAAGCUGGGGGAGCAAACCGGAUUAGAUACCCGGGUAGUCCCAGCCGUAAACUAUGCGCGUUAGGUGUAUCGGUGACCACGAGUUACCGAGGUGCCGAAGGGAAACCGUGAAACGUGCCGCCUGGGAAGUACGGUCGCAAGGCUGAAACUUAAAGGAAUUGGCGGGGGAG